CCCGUGCUACAACCGCACAGCACAGGUUCACAAGCUCUUAUCCUUGUAUAAGACACCUGAGUCUGGCGAGUCUUAGUUAUUGA
Molecule: non-coding RNA, 83 nt
Organism: Bacillus sp. VT-16-64
Lineage: Bacteria; Bacillati; Bacillota; Bacilli; Caryophanales; Bacillaceae
Source: Rfam